This 445-nucleotide ribosomal RNA is filed under the name uncultured bacterium. Its description in RNAcentral is "bacterial SSU rRNA". It matches the Rfam family "Bacterial small subunit ribosomal RNA", at positions 354 to 796 of the family's 1533-position model. The record is from RNAcentral.
GUGAGGAAUAUUGGUCAAUGGGCGCAAGCCUGAACCAGCCAUGCCGCGUGCAGGAAGACGGUCCUAUGGAUUGUAAACUGCUUUUAUUUGGGAAUAAACUCCGGUACGUGUACCGGCCUGAAGGUACCAAAUGAAUAAGCACCGGCUAACUCCGUGCCAGCAGCCGCGGUAAUACGGAGGGUGCAAGCGUUAUCCGGAAUCAUUGGGUUUAAAGGGUCCGCAGGCGGUCUUAUAAGUCAGUGGUGAAAGCCUACAGCUCAACUGUAGAACUGCCAUUGAUACUGUAGGACUUGAAUUCGAUCGAAGUGGGCGGAAUGUGACAUGUAGCGGUGAAAUGCUUAGAUAUGUCACAGAACACCGAUAGCGAAGGCAGCUCACUAGGUCUGGAUUGACGCUCAGGGACGAAAGCGUGGGGAGCAAACAGGAUUAGAAACCCUGGUAGUCC